UCACAAUAUAUAUUUACCGUAUAAAAGGAGAUCAAACUGUAUAAUGUUUUUUAUAUUUACCGUAUAAAAAAAAAAAAACUGAAGAGACUAAAUGUCUAAUGUUUAUAAUCAGAGGAGUCAAAAAUAUAAUUUAGUCAUUUUGCAGUCCUUGUAAAUAAAAUAAAUUAUAGAACUAAAAACCAAUUUAGAAAAAAAUAUUGCAACUUGGCAUCUAUAAAAUACAAACGAAGUCAUAGAGAUUUCAUUAGUAAACGAUUUUGCAACCACAUCAAAGGAAAACGGUGACAAUCUUGUAGUUGUUGUGAUAAAAAUGAAAGUUAUUGUUUAAUGUAACUCAAUUGAUAGAAAUAUUAUAUUAUAUUAUAAUGGUUGAGAUCUUAACUCCGAUUUUUGCAUUUUAGAGCUAAAACUUUAGCAACUACAUCACUUGGCUUAAAGAAAAUUACUCCCUCCCUAAUUAUAAGAUCAUUUUGCUAAAAUCACGGGAAUUAAGAAAGUGGAUAUUUGUAUUAAAGUUGUUUGUAAUCACUAUUGUUUUUACAAUUUUAUCCUUAAGAGAGAGAGUUAGUUUAUGUUUUCCAUAUGCUACUUAUUGCUGAUUGAAGAAAAAGAUGUAUAAUAAAUAGGGGCAUGUAUGUAAAGAAAUAAUUAAUGUAGUUGGAAAUAACAAAGGGGUCUUAUAAAAAGGGACAAAAAAAAUCUCAAAAGGGUCUUAUAAUUAGGGACGGAGGGAGUAAAUGACUAAAUAGACAAUUAUCCUUCGAAAUUGUAAGUUUCAUCAAUUAUCCCCCUGAAAUUGCACAACGUUAAUCAAUUUACACCUUCCGUCAAAUUUUUCUAUUAGUCAACAUGACGUUUUCCAAAUACCUCCCCUGAAGUUUUGCACUUAUGUGCAAAAUGCCCCCGAACUUGAAAAUUUAUAUAUUUUUUUCUUAUCCUUGACUCAAAAGAUAUUAAAGACAAACAACAUAAGAUAUGGAAAUCUAAACUCAAUAAUAUUUUGUUUGUGAAUAUAAUGAGCACAUGACAAUCAACAUAAGCGUAUCCUAUGGAGCCUAACACUAUUUGUCAAUAUUGAUGUGUUUGGCACCAUGUUGGGAGUCAUAAGCUAGAAUUCCAAAAAGAAUUUCAAUUCAACAUUGUUUUGAUAGAAAAAGAAGCAGUUUAAAAUACUCAUUAAGUAGGAUUGCAUACAUGGAUACAAAACGGGAUUAGCCAGCUAUAUUUCUGUGGGGAUUAGCCAGCUCCAUUAAUUGUUUCUCUUUAAUAUCUUUUGAGUCAGGUAUAAGAAAAAAUAUAUAUAAAUUUUCAAGUUCAAGGGGUAUUUUGCACAUUAGUGCAAAACUUCAGGGGAAGGUAUUUGCAAACGUCAUGUUGACUAAAAGAAUUUGACGAAGGGGGUAAAUUGAUUAACGUUGUAUAAUUUCAGGAGGAUGAUUAAAGUUUUGUUAAUUUCAGAAGGAUAAUUGAGGGGAAUGUAUUUGCAAAGUCAUGUUGACUAGAAUAAUUUGACGGAGGGGGUAAAUUGAUCAACGUUGUAUAAUUUCAGGAGGAUAAUUAAAGUUUUGUUAAUUUCAGAAGGAUAAUUGACGAAACUUAUAAUUUUAAGAAUAAUUGUCUAUUUACUCAAAAUUAGAUGAUCACUUAAAAAAUCAGUCCAUAUAUACAGUCCAUAUAUACAUUGUGAAUGUCUCACAGAUCAUGACUAAUAUAAAAUGUUAUCGGUUGCUUGAUUGAUACUGCUAAAUAUUUUGUUUGAAUAUUUUUAUUGUUUUUUACUUUAAUAAAAUCAUAAUUUGGUUUGUCCAUAAAUUCUAACUCAAUUGGUAAAAUAUCGAAAUUUUUAUAUUAGACGUUAGGGCUGAUAUUUGAACCCCAACAUCUUUAUUUGUGUGUGAGAGUUUAAACUGACUUGUCAUUUCAUCUUUCGGCAAAAUAAAUAAUAAAUCAUCAUCAGAAAUUUGGUAUUUGGAUUUGUAAAGGUGUCGCAACUGAAUUCCUAAUACUUCCGGUUAGAAAACUUACCCCUUUCUUUUGAAAGGAAAAAACUUAAUUCCCAACCCAUCAGAAUUACAAAUUAGUUUUAAAAAUUUACAUCACAAUUGUUGAAGGCAUCUUGAGGAGAACUUUGUUGCUAAUUAACCUUUGAAAUUAUACACCAAGGAUAACAAGUUCGUAACAAAAAAAAAGACAAAUGAAAUCGAUAAUUUAAGUUAGGGAAGUGCAAGCUUCUUGAUUUUGCACCUCUCUUCCCCAUUAAGCCAAUCCCUACCUGGGUAGUUUCUUCUAACUUAGCUUGACAAAUCC
RNAcentral lists this long non-coding RNA (2307 nucleotides) under Medicago truncatula (barrel medic). Its description in RNAcentral is "lncRNA gene29234". Lineage: Eukaryota; Viridiplantae; Streptophyta; Magnoliopsida; Fabales; Fabaceae. The record is from RNAcentral.